This 174-nucleotide ribosomal RNA is filed under the name uncultured Ochrobactrum sp. Its description in RNAcentral is "partial 16S ribosomal RNA". It matches the Rfam family "Bacterial small subunit ribosomal RNA", at positions 486 to 660 of the family's 1533-position model. The record is from RNAcentral. Lineage: Bacteria; Pseudomonadati; Pseudomonadota; Alphaproteobacteria; Hyphomicrobiales; Brucellaceae.
AGAAGCCCCGGCUAACUUCGUGCCAGCAGCCGCGGUAAUACGAAGGGGCCUAGCGUUGUUCGGAUUUACUGGGCGUAAUGCGCACGUAGGCGGAUUGGUCAGUUAGGGCUGAAAUCCCAGGGCUCAACCCUGGAACUGCCUUUAAUACUGCCAUCUUGAGUAUGGAAGAGGUGA